This 825-nucleotide ribosomal RNA is filed under the name uncultured Bacteroidota bacterium. RNAcentral describes it as "bacterial SSU rRNA". It matches the Rfam family "Bacterial small subunit ribosomal RNA", at positions 60 to 890 of the family's 1533-position model. Lineage: Bacteria; Pseudomonadati; Bacteroidota. The record is from RNAcentral.
AGUCGAGGGGUAUUGUUCUUCGGAAUGAGAGACCGGCGCACGGGUGCGUAACGCGUAUGCAAUCUACCUUUCACAGAGGGAUAGCCCAGAGAAAUUUGGAUUAAUACCUCAUAGUAUAACACAGCCGCAUGGUUGAGUUAUUAAAGUCACAACGGUGAAAGAUGAGCAUGCGUCCCAUUAGCUUGUUGGUAAGGUAACGGCUUACCAAGGCAACGAUGGGUAGGGGUCCUGAGAGGGAGAUCCCCCACACUGGUACUGAGACACGGACCAGACUCCUACGGGAGGCAGCAGUGAGGAAUAUUGGACAAUGGGCGCAAGCCUGAUCCAGCCAUGCCGCGUGCAGGAUGACGGUCCUAUGGAUUGUAAACUGCUUUUGCACAGGAAGAAACACUCGGACGUGUCCGAGCUUGACGGUACUGUGAGAAUAAGGAUCGGCUAACUCCGUGCCAGCAGCCGCGGUAAUACGGAGGAUCCAAGCGUUAUCCGGAAUCAUUGGGUUUAAAGGGUCCGUAGGCGGUUUGGUAAGUCAGUGGUGAAAGCCCAUCGCUCAACGGUGGAACGGCCAUUGAUACUGCUAGACUUGAAUUAUUAGGAAGUAACUAGAAUAUGUAGUGUAGCGGUGAAAUGCUUAGAGAUUACAUGGAAUACCAAUUGCGAAGGCAGGUUACUACUAAUGGAUUGACGCUGAUGGACGAAAGCGUGGGUAGCGAACAGGAUUAGAUACCCUGGUAGUCCACGCCGUAAACGAUGGAUACUAGCUGUUGGAAGCAAUUUCAGUGGCUAAGCGAAAGUGAUAAGUAUCCCACCUGGGGAGUACGUUUCGCA